AAUAUUGGACACUGGGGGCAACCCUGAUCCAGCCAUGCCGCGUGAGUGAUGAAGGCCUUAGGGUUGUAAAGCUCUUUCAGUGGGGAAGAUAAUGACGGUACCCACACAAGACGCCUCGGCUAACUUCUUGCCAGCAGCCGCUGUAAUACGAAGGGGGCUAUCGUUGUUCGGAUUUACUGGGCGUAAAGAGCACGUAGGCGGAUUGGUCAGUUAGGGGUGAAAUCCCGGAGCUCAACUACGGAACUGCCUUUAAUACUGCCAGUCUAGAGUCCGAGAGAGGUGAGUGGAACUCCUAGUGUAGAGGUGGAAUUCGUAGAUAUUAGGAAGAACACCAGUGGCGAAGGCGGCUCACUGGCUCGGUACUGACGCUGAGGUGCGAAAGCGUGGGGAGCAAAC
Molecule: ribosomal RNA, 396 nt
Filed under: uncultured bacterium
Lineage: Bacteria
Description: partial 16S ribosomal RNA
Rfam family: Bacterial small subunit ribosomal RNA
Source: RNAcentral